AUACUGCUGGCCUUGGGACCGGGAGAGGCGGGGGGUACCCCUGGGGUAGGGGUGAAAUCCUAUAAUCCCAGGGGGACCGCCAGUGGCGAAGGCGCCCCGCUGGAACGGGUCCGACGGUGAGGGACGAAGGCCAGGGGAGCGAACCGGAUUAGAUACCCGGGUAGUCCUGGCUGUAAAGGAUGCGGGCUAGGUGUCGGGCGAGCUUCGAGCUCGCCCGGUGCCGAAGGGAAGCCGUUAAGCCCGCCGCCUGGGGAGUACGGCCGCAAGGCUGAAACUUAAAGGAAUUGGCGGGGGAGCACUACAAGGGGUGGAGCGUGCGGUUUAAUUGGAUUCAACGCCGGGAACCUCACCGGGGGCGACGGCAGGAUGAAGGCCAGGCUGAAGGUCUUGCCGGACGCGCCGAGAGGAGGUGCAUGGCCGCCGUCAGCUCGUACCGUGAGGCGUCCACUUAAGUGUGGUAACGAGCGAGACCCGCGCCCCCAGUUGCCAGUCCUCCCCGUUGGGGAGGAGGCACUCUGGGGGGACCGCCGGCGAUAAGCCGGAGGAAGGAGCGGGCGACGGUAGGUCAGUAUGCCCCGAAACCCCCGGGCUACACGCGCGCUACAAUGAGCGGGACAAUGGGAUCCGACCCCGAAAGGGGAAGGGAAUCCUCUAAACCCGCUCCCAGUUCGGAUCGCGGGCUGCAACUCGCCCGCGUGAAGCUGGAAUCCCUAGUACCCGCGUGUCAU
RNAcentral lists this ribosomal RNA (728 nucleotides) under uncultured archaeon. RNAcentral describes it as "bacterial SSU rRNA". It matches the Rfam family "Archaeal small subunit ribosomal RNA", at positions 581 to 1308 of the family's 1478-position model. The record is from RNAcentral.